This 91-nucleotide transfer RNA is filed under the name Marasmius sp. AFHP31. RNAcentral's name for it is "tRNA-Glu". It matches the Rfam family "tRNA". From Rfam's summary of the family: Transfer RNA (tRNA) molecules are approximately 80 nucleotides in length. Their secondary structure includes four short double-helical elements and three loops (D, anti-codon, and T loops). The record is from RNAcentral. Lineage: Eukaryota; Fungi; Basidiomycota; Agaricomycetes; Agaricales; Marasmiaceae.
UCCGUUAUGGUGUAGUGGCUAACAUUAUCGCCUCUCAUGGUUUCAUCCAAUUGUGACGCGAUAGCCCAGGGUUCGAUUCCCUGUAACGGAA